AGCUUUUCAAAUCCGUGCUGAGAUUUCGUCAGACACCAACUCAUUAGUGUUGAUCAGGCUUCCAAGAUAAGUGAAGUU
RNAcentral lists this microRNA precursor (78 nucleotides) under Schistosoma margrebowiei. RNAcentral describes it as "mir-3492 microRNA precursor family". It matches the Rfam family "mir-3492 microRNA precursor family". The record is from Rfam by way of RNAcentral. Lineage: Eukaryota; Metazoa; Platyhelminthes; Trematoda; Strigeidida; Schistosomatidae.